Long non-coding RNA from Cyprinus carpio (common carp), 258 nucleotides. RefSeq lists it as uncharacterized. NCBI's taxonomy places the organism in Eukaryota, Metazoa, Chordata, Actinopteri, Cypriniformes, Cyprinidae. The transcript is spliced from 2 exons. The record is from RefSeq and is a predicted model, not a curated record.
AACCCGGAGAAUAAAACACGAGGAACCAGAAACCCGGAGAAUAAAACACGAGGAACAAGGAGGCAUGAUGAAAAUGAAAGAAGAAAGACAAGAUCUGAAUGAGGUGGAGGAUCAGAAAGAUCAUGAUGUCAAUGGAGAAAAAUCUGUGAGUUGCAGCAUUAAAAAAAAAGUCGUCAAAAAGCCUUUCAUCUGCUCUCAGUGUGGAAAGUGUUUUACACAGAAAGCAAGCCUUGAGAGGCACAUGUUAAUUCAUGCUGG